This is a microRNA precursor of Gadus morhua (Atlantic cod), 60 nucleotides long. Ensembl annotates it as gmo-mir-133a-2. Its record names the gene gmo-mir-133a-2. The record is from Ensembl. Lineage: Eukaryota; Metazoa; Chordata; Actinopteri; Gadiformes; Gadidae.
AGCUGGUAAAAUGGAACCAAAUCAACUGUUAAAUGGAUUUGGUCCCCUUCAACCAGCUGU